UGAACGACUCUCGGCAACGGAUAUCUCGGCUCUCGCAUCGAUGAAGAACGUAGCGAAAUGCGAUACUUGGUGUGAAUUGCAGAAUCCCGCGAACCAUCGAGUCUUUGAACGCAAGUUGCGCCCGAAGCCAUUAGGUUGAGGGCACGCCUGCCUGGGCGUCUCAC
Molecule: ribosomal RNA, 164 nt
Filed under: Camellia luteoflora
Lineage: Eukaryota; Viridiplantae; Streptophyta; Magnoliopsida; Ericales; Theaceae
Description: 5.8S ribosomal RNA
Rfam family: 5.8S ribosomal RNA
About the family: 5.8S ribosomal RNA (5.8S rRNA) is a component of the large subunit of the eukaryotic ribosome.
Source: RNAcentral